Molecule: transfer RNA, 31 nt
Filed under: Epimedium sagittatum
Lineage: Eukaryota; Viridiplantae; Streptophyta; Magnoliopsida; Ranunculales; Berberidaceae
Description: partial tRNA-Thr
Source: RNAcentral
UGAACGAUGACUACGCUUACAUGGCGUACUC